Long non-coding RNA from Vicia villosa (hairy vetch), 604 nucleotides. RefSeq lists it as uncharacterized. The transcript has 3 exons. NCBI's taxonomy places the organism in Eukaryota, Viridiplantae, Streptophyta, Magnoliopsida, Fabales, Fabaceae. The record is from RefSeq and is a predicted model, not a curated record.
GUUAGGUUGGUUAAGUGUUGUAACACGCAUCUUGCUCUUCAUGUAGCAACCGUUGGUUUCAAUGUACUACAUGAUUGCCUUUUCGAGAAUGAGAAUAUAUGUGUGGUGCUGUGUUUUUAUUUUUGCCGCACUACCGUCCAUUAUAAGUAAACGGAGACACCACAAAAUGAUAGCAGUAUGGCAGUGGUUGAUUGUGGCGGAGCCAGAAAAAUUAUGAAGCCUGGGCAAAAAUUUAAAGACCGUAAAUUCACAUUGUGUGUUCAUCACAAUGUUUCAAAAGAGAUUCUACAAAUUAUUUUAGUAAAAAUUGAUUGUUCUUAUAUUUUAGUUAAUACACUAAUAAAAACUUUUCAUACAAGCAACAUGAACCCAUAAAUUCUGUAUUACCAUAUUUCUUAGUUGAGUAUCACCAUCAUCAUUACCAAAUUUUCUGACAAAUGUCUCCAAAUUCUGAGUCAGCAUAGAUGGAUUUUUUGCACAGAAACAAGAUACAAGACUGUUAGUCACAUGAACUGUAAUAUAUUUUUUGUUACUUGUCACCAUCUUAUCAUUCAAAUUUUAAAGAAUAAUAUAUGAAUUUACAUUACUGAGUGAAUUCAUAAUC